RNA transcript from Mauremys reevesii (Reeves's turtle), 5346 nucleotides. It is a transcript of the gene named GPRIN family member 3, with no coding region annotated. The record is from RefSeq and is a predicted model, not a curated record. Lineage: Eukaryota; Metazoa; Chordata; Testudines; Geoemydidae. The transcript has 5 exons.
UGAUUUGUGUUCGACUGAAGUACGUCUUCCAGAAAAACAUCCGGUCUUGAUUUGAAUGCAUCACUUCUCUUGAUAGUUUGUUCCAGUGCAGAUGAUUGUGGCUCCCCUUCAAGAUCCUCCUUUCUGCUCUUGAGUGCCUAGAAACAGAAAAGACACAGUGUUGUACAAGUGGUCUCCUCAGUACUGUCUAUAGAAAUAAUACCACUGCCUGCCAUAUGCAGCUGGAGCAGCGAAGUGAUCAUCACUCUGGGUAGGCUGUGGGUUUGUGCUCCACUCAAGUGUCCUAACACGAGUCCUGAUAAGAAAGAACAAUGGAGUGUAUGUAAUAUCUGGUUGCGGUUUUUAGAUUGGCUCUAAGGGAAAGUUGUUCCUGACCACGAUCCCCUUGAUACAAAUACUGCUCUGCAAGAGUGUUGCUAGAGGAAGCUGACUGCGAGCUACAGCUCAGAGAAAUUCCAUGGGGACAGUACCAGAUCCUCUGAGGUCUGCCAAACUUUUGUUGGUUGCCACUUCUGAAGAGAGAGAUUGCCUGGGAGAUCCGCAAUCCACUAAGCACCAGCACAAACAAGCAAGCCUAGAGAGGAGCAGUAAUGGCAUUUCUUACACCCAGGCUGAAUCUGCUGGAGUUUGCUUGUUUGACCUGAACUGUACUAUAGUUUCCGACAUUCAAAGGGAUGAGCUCCUCUGUGGGGAUGAUACUAGCCAGCCAGACAUGUUUUUGCCUGGGUCCUUCAGCCAAGCUGAAGAAGUGCCUCCUGCGUGUACAGAAUCGGCCAGUGACUCCGAGCAAAAGGUCAGCAGUGACUCCACAGUGCAAACACUGAUUAUAGCAAGAACCUGUGCAGCUGGGCAUGCAACAGAUAUGAUGCCAGCUACCCACAAUUCCAACCAGCUUAUACAAAGUGACCUACCAAGGAUAAAGUCACUGGCACAAGUUGAUGAUUGUGCAGUGAAGGUCUGUAGGAUGAAUGAUUCGGCAGAACUUCAGGAAUUAAAGUAUCCUUCCCCAGACAACACUAUCAAGGGUAGUGAGUCCUGUCACCAUUCUUCUCAAGCAAAUACCCUGCAAAGAAUAGACAUGGAAAAAGAAAAAGCAGUGGAAAUAAAUGACCCUGGCUUCUCUCUGGCAGCCACUCCAGUGAGGGACUUUGAAGCUAUUCCUGAUCUGGGGAUCAGGCCGCAGGUUUAUUCAGAAGCAGAGAUAAGGGCUGCAAAUGAUGUGAAAUCCUGUCCCACUUUUAGGACUGCGCUUGCACAAAGCAAUGAGGCUUUGCCACCAUCCAGCUUUGAGGGGACACUGCCUGGGUGCAAGGCAGAGAUGGAGAAAACAGGACCAGUGCUGCCUCAGCUCUCCAGGUUCAGAGAAGCAAGUACAAUGACAGUCCAGCCUGAGAGCACAUCUUUAACUCGGGAGGCAGUAAACCGGACAUGGCGUGAUGCUGAGGUUCAGGCAGUGGCCAGUAUGGAGACCAAAUCCGCUUCCACCAGCCCAAGUAUCCUUGCUGCAUUCCUCAAGGGGAAUCCUCCUUCGGAGGCAACUGAGCAAUUGCACUUCAUUUAUCAGAGUGGUGGUGGGCAGAACCAGUCAGAACUUGCUGAUGACUUUGCAUCACUCCAAGAGCCAGCCUUGUGUCCGGGUAUCGUACCAAAAGUGUGUGCUCUAACAGUGGUGAUGGAUACAGGGAAAGCUCAGCCUGCCAAACUGCAAAAGCAUCAAGGAGACCCACCUGACACCAUCUGUCCAGUGCUGUCAGGUAGCACAACACCUGCCUGUCUGUGCCCACAAGGAGCCGGGAACACCCAGGGAAUACCUGCUGAUGGGGCAGAAACACAAGUAGCCUGCUUGGCCAGAGACAGCACAGACAUUCCUCAGCUGCCAUCAGCUGCUGCAGUCUUACUGAGGGCAAAACCUGUUUACCAGAUUACGGUUAACACCAGUAAUCAACCUGCAGCACCUCAGGAGUCUGGAGAUGGUGAACCCCACCCGUCUCCAUUUGCAGCAGUCCCAGAAGCCAGCAACAACUUUCCGCACCAAGUCAGUGAUUCAGAAAGUAACCAGUCACCUGGACACAGUAGGGUACCCCAUGGAACUGAGCAGACAGAGACCCUGUGCAGCGCAGCCGGUAGCAGCACUGACAGAAAGCCUUCGCAGUUCCAAAGUGUUGAUGAAGUGCAAAUCAGUCUGGCUAAUGUCAAAACAGAGAGAGAGCCAAAGAAGGAAGAAAAGCUAAUGCUGCUUGAUUCUAGAGGAGGAGUUAACACCAGUACUGGAGCUGCUGCUGGCUCUAUGAAGGUGUAUGCACCAGGCACAGUUAAAACGGAGCAGGAUAAAAUGUUGGAAGACACUACUCAGGCCAAGAAGUCUAGCAGCCUGAGUCUGCAAGCUGGAUUUACACCUGAGUUGAAUAUGAAUUCUACCCACGACCCCCAUAGGAUGAAGACCCCAACAGCUCCACCAGAUCAAAUUAGCAAGGCCAGUGAAACCAGGAAGGAACCAACAGCUGUUCCUGCCUCUGCUCCACUACUGCCACAUCUUGGGGAAAAGAAGAAAAAGCCCACGGUGGCCACGGAGGCAAAAGUACAGGUGCAGCAAUCCAAGCACAUCAGAGAUGUUGUGUGGGAUGAACAAGGCAUGACAUGGGAGGUAUAUGGUGCUUCGCUAGACCCAGAGUCACUGGGGAUCGCUAUCCAAAAUCACUUACAAAGACAAAUACGAGAACAUGAGAAACUGAUCAGGGCACAAAGCACCCAGAACCGGAAAUCGAUUUCCUCAGAUACAUCUUCAAAUAAGAAACUUAAAGGGAGGCAGCAUAAUGUGUUCCAGUCCAUGCUGCAGAACUUUAGGCGACCUAACUGCUGUAUCCGACCUGCUCCUUCUUCUGUGUUAGACUGACGGGGGGUUGUGUGUCCGCAGGGACAACCCCUCCCCCAAAGGUGGAAAGAAACCCCACUGCACAGUUGUAUUAUCUGGGAUUAUGAUGCGGUGACCAUGGAAAUUCUUACCUGAAAUUUUCAGAAUAGUCACUACAUUGUCCCUGGAUGAGGCUUACAACAUAUUCUGAUUCCAUUCCUUCACCCUGUCAUCUCACAUUACUUUACGUGACCUCCAAACUUGCUGCUGAACUUAGGCUUACACAUAUAGGGAUUCUUCCUUUGUACAUCUGUCAAGGACGUACUUUUUGUUUCUUUCCAUCCCCUCCUAGCAUUGUGAAUUUCAUGUGACUUAAACGUUGGCAGUAUUGUUUGGUAAGGCAAGUUGACAUGUUUGGUGUCUCUUACCACGUUUGUUUCUGUGUUGGCACCGAAGAGGUUCCCAAUAUUUGCUGCAGUGUUUGUUGUUUCAUGUUCAGGUUUAAGCCUUUGUGCUGUUUGUUCUUGUGACUUCAGCUCAAUUCUGCUCACACCCUCAUCAGCUGUAGCCGUGCCUGUGCCUGUGAAAUGAUGUCAAUUGAGGAGUCUUUUGUCCCUUUCUCUAUUAUUCCCCUUGUUAUAAACUUUUGUGGUUCAUUCUAGUCUGAAUUGUCCCUGUACAAACUUGUUAAUAUGAGCAUAUACAUGUAUGGUUCAGGGUGUCCUAGGGGCGAUCAACGGCUAUGGAUAUUUACAGAGUUCCAUGGACUUCAUCCAGCAGCCCACUCCCAAAAAAUAUUUGAAAAUCUGGGCUCUGUUUGCUCAAUUUAGACCAAAAUUUGCUUGGCGCUUAAUGACGGAUGAACACGUAGAUGAACUGAAUAAAAUAAUUGUUUUGCUUCAUGAGGAAUCAGCAAGAUCUGUCUUAAUUCCCUGCAGCUGUUUCUAGUUGUAACAUUCACCAGCCUAUCCAUCCCUCAUCACAACUGAACAACCUCUCUCUAAGUAAAGUAUCGCCAAUACAUUUAUGAACUGAAACUAAAAGAGCGAGACUGCCAGGCGGCUGCGUCCAAAAGACUGCUCAGGCAUCAGUGGAAAGACUGAGGUGGUCAGCAGAACAUAACGACAGAAUGAUCCUUAAAAAUGUAGUUUAAAGAUAAACUCAGAAAUGUCAGUGAAACUGUAUGUGGGGCACAACCGCCUGCUGAAAUGCAUUCAAAGCCAAGCAAUAAUGUGUCAAAAAGAGUCAAUAAACACCAGCACAGCUCAUGUAAACUAGUCUAUAUUUUUACUUCGCUCUAUUAGGGCUGAAUUUAAGCAACUUGAUAACUAAAUGCCAGGUUAAAACUUUCUCCUUCAUAAGCUAUCUAGACAACCAUGUUUGAAAUGAACCUUGUUGGAGCUCCUGGAGAUUUCACUAUCAGCAAAAGGAACCUUAUGCUCGGGGCAGCACUGACACGUCAUGGAGCUGAGCAAGGAAUAUGAUUAUGUAGCCGUCCUCCCACUGGCUGGGAAAACUUGUUCUUGGUUUCAGCCAUGUUGGUGUCAAAAUCAGAAGUGUAAUUGCCUGGUGGGAUGAAAGAAAAUACUAAAAAGUCCUGUUUGCCUUCACACACACGCCCUACAGUCGUCUUGCCCUGUGACCCAAAACCACACUGCAGCAAUUAAAUGGUUAAUAAUAUGAAGGAAUACCACGCAGAAUGUGAAAGAAGGUCCAAGUGUAAAGUGAAACUGAACGACAGAUGUCUUUCCUAUGGGUAAAACUGUCUGAAAAGCCCCCAGUUGCAAUUUGAAACUGAAGGUAGAGGAACAGAUUGAAGCAACCCUUGCGUUUAAUUUGCUGUAGGAAAAAAGAAAAUGUGGAAACCAGUCAGAGGAAAGGGAACAGGGUCCAUGUUGGUGGGUCUCUUGGAAAGCUAUAAGCGGCCAGAUGGAUUUGAGAUAAGUGGAGUUAAUGGAAAUAGAAAGGUUGUUUCCAUCUUGACCUCAGGAACACAAUAUUUUUCUAGAUUAGGAACCUGAGCCAGUUUUUAGGAUCCAUGAAACAUAAAGCCCAGGGGAACCCCCAACUCAGGCAAUUUGCAGGAUAGUCCCUAAGACCUAUGGAGUCUGCUGUUGUCUGAGGUCAUUGAUCCGGGUUCUGUUAGCUUUGCAUUGGCUUAGGCAGAACCAGUAGAUUGAAGAUCUGUGUGCUUUCUGCUAGCCCACUCUGGGAAAAGACCAUGCGGGCAGGACUUAUUCUGGCAAUCAGUCUAUGAGUGGUAGGUGGAAGGAAAUACAACCCUCGCCUCUCUCAAGGAAGGAUGAUCCACCACCUAUCCCUUCUCUCUUAUCAUAGAAGAGGAGAGAAGGGAUGAGAAAAAUGGGGGAAAGAGGAGGAGAAAUUGAGUGAUAUGGGCUUUACUAGGGCCUCCCCAAAUCCUGUAUCCAGGACCAUACUGGUUCAUUUUAUUUUUGCCAUUGGCUUAUUCUGAAAUAAAGAAUCUGUAUCUGCAA